This 566-nucleotide ribosomal RNA is filed under the name uncultured bacterium. Its description in RNAcentral is "bacterial SSU rRNA". It matches the Rfam family "Bacterial small subunit ribosomal RNA", at positions 28 to 572 of the family's 1533-position model. The record is from RNAcentral.
GACGAACGCUGGCGGCGUGCCUAACACAUGCAAGUCGAGCGAGAAAGUCUCCUUCGGGAGAUGAGUAAAGCGGCGAACGGGUGAGUAACACGUGAGCGAUCUACCCGGCGGCGGGGGAUAACUCAGGGAAACCUGAGCUAAUACCGCAUACAGCACUGGCUUGGAAGCCGGAUGUGAAAGUUGGCCUCUCGAAGAAGCUGACACCGUCGGAUGAGCUCGCGGCCUAUCAGCUAGUUGGUGGGGUAACGGCCUACCAAGGCGAUGACGGGUAGCUGGCGUGAGAGCGUGGCCAGCCACACUGGGACUGAGACACGGCCCAGACUCCUACGGGAGGCAGCAGUGGGGAAUAUUGCGCAAUGGGCGAAAGCCUGACGCAGCGACGCCGCGUGGGGGAGGAAGGCCCCAGGGUUGUAAACCCCUGUCAGGUGGGACGAACCACGGAUCGGUCAAUACCCGGUCCGCCUGACGGUACCACCAGAGGAAGCUCCGGCUAACUCCGUGCCAGCAGCCGCGGUAAUACGGAGGGAGCGAGCGUUGUUCGGAAUCACUGGGCGUAAAGGGCGCGU